AUGAUAGGUAUCUUUUGGAAUUGUUGGGGGGCAGGUAAGAAGGGCAUGUCUACCUGCCUCACUAACAUGAUUAAUGCCAAUGGGGUGGACUUCCUUGGGUUGCAAGAAACUAUGAAAGGCAACUAUACCCCUUCCUUCUUUAGGAAAUUGGAUCCAUAUCAAAAGUUUCAUUGGGAGUGGAACCCUUCUAGGGGGGAAUCUGGAGGCAUCCUUUGUGGUCUUAAUAAAGACAAGUUUGAUAUCGGGGUUAAACACGGGAAAUUUAUUUUACAAAUUGACCUUUUCGAUAGGAUCAAAAAUUGCAAAUGGCCCUUGAUGGUUGUAUAUGGUGCUGCUCACGAUGAGCACAAACCUGAAUUUAUGGCAGAAGUUGUUGGGAAACGCAGUAAUUUCAAAAAAAUUCCUACGCACACGCAAGAUCCAUCUAGGUGA
RNAcentral lists this ribosomal RNA (432 nucleotides) under Triticum aestivum (bread wheat). RNAcentral describes it as "partial small subunit ribosomal RNA". The record is from RNAcentral. Lineage: Eukaryota; Viridiplantae; Streptophyta; Magnoliopsida; Poales; Poaceae.